CCCCCCUCAGGCCUCGCCCUGGUGUUGGGGCGGCCGCGGGACCUCCCGCGGCGCCCUCGAAGGAAGUGGCGGGCUCGUUUGCGGUCCCGGGCGUAGUAGAGUGUCUCGCCUAGGGUGCCGCGGUGAGUGCUAGCCGUAAAUCCUGCUUCCACAGGAAGAUUCUACGC
RNAcentral lists this unclassified non-coding RNA (167 nucleotides) under uncultured Ascomycota. Its description in RNAcentral is "sequence contains ITS2". Lineage: Eukaryota; Fungi; Ascomycota. The record is from RNAcentral.